GGCAGUUCUCGGGUAACGCAUCCCGGAAUCGGGCUCCCUCCUCUCUGGCUCUGGGUACAUCACCUGAGAACCACA
This is a non-coding RNA of Myotis lucifugus (little brown bat), 75 nucleotides long. Lineage: Eukaryota; Metazoa; Chordata; Mammalia; Chiroptera; Vespertilionidae. The record is from Rfam.